GGAAGGAAGGGUUUUGGGGGGACAAAAAUAUAGGGGAAAAUUGAAAAAUAUUUCACAUCUUUUGAAAGAGUAUUUUCUUAGAGGGUGAUAAAUUAAUGCUUAUGAUUAAUAUAUUUUUAAUUUUAAGAAUAUUAUAACAAUAUAUAUUAUAUUUGAAGAAUUCAUAUAAACCCUCUCAAACCCCCAAAACUCUCCUCCAAUACAAUUUUUUAGUUCCUCAAAUGAGGAUGAUUUUAUAUUUUGAAGAAAAACAAGCCCCCCAAAGCCUCUCCUUCCAAUGUCUUCUAUUUUUUUCACUUCCUCUUUACCUUUUUCCCAAACCCUCCAUUUCCUUCCUCUCCAAACUCGCAAACAAAGCCUAAAGGCACAUGUUAAUCAACACAAAAGUAGAAGCAUUCUCUUAAAUUUUGUUCAUUCAAGUAAUUAAAAAUAACAAAAGUAAAUUUAAUAUACGGAUUUCAACAAAAUAUUUCUACAUUUAACUUAUUAACUUGUGCCUUAAGGUAUAAGCGAGUAUUUCUCAAAUAAAAAUUCUUCUUUAAAUUUGUUAACAAACACUCUUAAAACACUUUUCUAAAUUUCCUUAACCAUUUAAAGAACAUAAAUGAAUAAAUGUUGCCCCUAUUAUCCAUGACAAUAAGACAUAAAUGAAUCAAUGUUGCCCGUAUUCUACAUGACAAUAUGCAACACAACAAUCACUCACUCUUCAUUUUGGAACCCCGUUUUUUCAUGUUGGCAAGUGUGCUACUACACGGCGGAAUGCACUUCAGUAAGUAUGGUCCCUAUAUAUAGGUCGUGGUAAAUGUCCUGCAUAGGAUUCAUUUUCCUUUUUUUUUUUCUCUAAAUUAUUAAAAUAUGAAUAAUCAAAAUUGCAGAUGGAAUCUAAGUUUUUUUUUAAUGAAAAAUAGUAUUUGUAUAACUAUUUUAUAAUAAUUUUUGGACAAUAUUGUUUCUUAUACAGUUAUACUCACAUUAUAUUUUUAUUAUCUUUUUUUUUUUUUAUUGUUAUUGAUCAAUAAAAAGAAAAACAAAUAAAAUUGUCACAAAUUUUUUUAUUAAUUGAUUCUUCAAAUAUCAUUGCUCUUUUCUCUUGAAGUGCAUGUCGUCACUUAGCAUGCAUCCCUCAAGAAAUUUAUGAACACGUUGAUUUGAUUCAGUUAGACACCUAACUUUAUUUGCAAAAUAACGUCUUUUAACUAUUUAAACAAUUUGCUAAAAAAAAAAACUAUUUAAACAAUGUCAUAAGUUGGUCUUUAACUAUUUAAACACCUAGCUUAAUUUUUAUUUUAUUUUUUUACAAAAAACACCUAGCUUAAUUAAAUACAUGUAGUCUUGUAACUACCCUUAAAUUGAUUAAUCUAAGUUUAUAAAUGAAACUGCAAAGUCUUUUAUUAAUCCACAUAAGUGGAAUAAACGAAUGUGUUGGGGUUUGAACCCCGAUCAUAUUGUCUAGGGAUGUAAAUGGAUAUCUAUGGAUGCAGAUAGUUUGAUAUCCGUGUCCACUCCGUUUGAUAAAUAUGAAAUAUGUGCCCUAUCAAUAUCCGCAUGGAUAUCCGUUUAGCGGGUAAUCCAUAGAUUUUGAGGUAUUCACGAGUUUAUACAGAUAUCCAUGGAUAACAUUUAAAAAAAUAAAAUAAAAAAUUUGUUUAAUUUUUUUAGCUAAAAUUCAGAAACAAAGGUUCUUCACAUGUGUUUUCUUUUCUUUUUAGAAAAACAUAAUAUCAUACAUUACAAUAACAAAAAGAUCAUUGACUCAACAAAAACAUAAAUAAAGUCCUUACAUUUAAUAAAAAUAAAGUUCUUUGAUUUAACAAAGGCAUAGCUAAAGCUCAUAUAUUCAACAAAAACACAAUACCUAGGAUUUUUUCUUAGGAUGUUGAAUGGUAUUAAGGAUAUUUAUGUAAUUUACUCUGUGUAAUAACGGAUAUGUUUAUCCGCGGGUGUGGAUACCAUUGAAUUCGCAUCUGUAUCCAUUAAUUAGCGGGUAGUUAAAAAAUCCGUUUAUUUUAUCCAUGGAUAUCCAUUAAGGUAUCCGCUCCGUGUCCGUGGCGGAUUUUAUCCGCGGAUAUCCACGGAUGUGGAUAUUUUUGCCAUCCCUUGUCCAAUCUAGCAAUUUUAGAAUUUUUACCAAUUGAACUAGGAUUUAUGGACCCCAUUUUACAUUAUAAAUCCUAUAAUAUUUAAAAGUGAGUAAACCAUCAAACUGGUCUCUGUCUUUGUACCAACUUCUCAAAUUGGUCUUUGACUCUAUUAAUAACUCAAAAUGGUAUUUGUCUUUAUCAAAAGUUUCUCAGAUUGGUCCCUGACUCUAUUAGUUGUUUUGCAUUUUAAGCCUUUAACGUACCAAAUAAGAUCAAAAUGUAUUAUGCCAUUAACCACUAAAUAAUAUCCAAAAGACAUUGAGACAUUAACACUUAAAAUACAAAACAACUAAUAGAGUCAGAGACCAAUCUGAGAAACAUUUAACAAAGACAGAGACCAUUUUGAAUUAUUAAUAGAGUCAGGGAUCAAAUUGAAAAUUUGAUAUAAAGACAUAAACCAAUUCGAUAGUUUACUCAUUUAAAAGUUGCUUGUUAUUAAGAAAUAAAGUAAAAGCACAAGAUCAAAGAAGAAGAGGAAGGAGAAGAUGAAAGCACUUUGUAUUAUUCUCUUCACAAGUGUGUCUUUGCAAUACAAUAUGAGACCUAUUAUAAUACACAAGAUGAGUAAGUGAGUGAUCAAGGCAACUAAGGUCCAGUAACUAUUCACUUACCAAUGGAAAUUAUAGGAAGGUGAAAGACUUAAGGAUGUACAUCCACUAAGUCAUUAUUUCAUAAAACUUGUGAUAAUAAUCCUUGUUAUUUUAGUUUUUAGUUUCUUUAUGUAUUUAUGCAUGUUAGAACAGUUGCACUCAUUUUGUGCAGCCAAGUUCCAAAAGGAAAAAUGUUUCAGUUUCAUUCAAUAUACCAGAACUGAAUAGUGACUUGAAUUGUGUUAGUAACCAUCAAACUAAAGAUAAAGCUAAUAUGCUAAAUCACAACUCUCUCACUCAAACCCGGAAGGUGGAUGUUAGCAUCCAUUCUAAGGUUGCUCCUACAUCUCAAGCUCAAAUUACAUCUCAUUGUGAUACCAUUGGAGUCAAUCAAUCCAAUGAAACCAUUGCAGCUAUGGCGCAGGAAUGUACAGAAAAUUUGAGCCUAGAACUACUAAAUUCAUUUGCUUAUUUGGAUGCUGGGAAUCUUGUGGAUUUGGGGGAGGCUUUGUCUGAGGAAUUGGAGAACUUAGAUGCUUCAUCUGACGUGCAUAAGGUUGUCCAUGAUGCACCUAUUGUCACUCCUCUAGAGGAUGUUGUAUUAGCUCCCGUUCCUAUGCCGCAACCUAUAACCACCAAAUUUGCUAGCUUAACUAGUGACAAGCUCCCUUCAAGCUAAACAUUUAUCCCUGCUUCCAAACCUCUUUCUGCUGCAGCCAAAAAGAGUGUGCAGAUUCUUUUCAAAUUUUGGGGGGAUGAGGUAGAAGAGGGUGAUGUAGAAGAGGACAACGAUGAAGCCAUUUAUCAGACUUUGAGCAGCACUAUCCAAACCUAUCGGGGAGCACUAAAGCAGAGAAAAUGAAGAAGAAACAUGUGAGCAAAGUGAAGCCUGCUAGCUUUAACUCAGCUGACAUGAGGACCCGUGCCCAGAAGGGUACCUUCAAAAUAGACUUGGCAGCUACGGAAUAACUGGUUUUAUUGCAAUAAAAUAACUAGAAAUGUCAUUUAUUUUAUAUAAUUUUUCAUAGGGAGGGUAGUCUUGUAGCAGUUGUUAUGGCAUUAUGGUCAUAAACUGCCUAGUUUUUUUAGGAUCUUUCCUUUCUAGGGAUAGAUCUGGUUUUUCUUUUCUUAGGUUCUCCGCGAUGUGACUCUUGUUGUAUUGGUUCAUGCAUCUCUUGUCUUUUAUAUUUUCGUGCUUUGAUCAAAAAAUAGAACAACUGAUCCCAUACUAUGUAGAGUAUAUUAAUUUUAGUCACUCAAAUAAGAACUAUUAUAGAGUUAUAUUAUUUCAACAUCAUAAUAUAAAUAGAUAUGCGUUCAACAAAAAUAAAAUAAAAAUGUAUGUUAUUUAACAAUCAUUUUUUAGACUAUUUAUGAGACAAUUAAAUAUAUAAAAAUUGUAAGUAUUGAUAUAAAAAUCAAAACAAAUAUAAAAGAGAGUAAAAUUACAAUUAAAAUAUAAGAGAGAGUUCUUGUAACAAAAUGAUAAGAAUCGUCCAAAGUGAACCUCUUAUGUAAAAAUGAUCAUAUGAUUAAUUCGAACAUAAAGUAAGUAUGAUAAGAAUCAAAACAAACAACAAAGUAAAGCAAAUCUGUAAAAAAAAAAAAAAAAAAAAAAAAAAAAAAAAAAAAAAAAAAAAAAAAAAAAAAAAAAAAAAAAAAAAAAAAAACAGACCAAAUUAAAAAUAGACCAAAUAAAAGUAGAAACCAGAGAACAUCAUGGAUGACUCACGAAACAAGAAUGGAUCAUUCCCCAAAAAAAAAUUGACCAAUCAAAAUUCUUUUUUUAGCAGAAUAUAUGGAGGUUAUUGUGAAAUGCAUGUUCAUGAAAACACAUGAAGGUCUACAUUAUCCUCGGAUAAUUUAUCCACAAUAAUGAAUAGGAUCCGAUUCUAAAACGAAGAAAAUAUUGAUCACUUGUUGAAUGAAAGAGAUAAAGAAAUUUAAUAUUCUUGAGAAGAAAAUGGUAACUACUUGUAAAAAUAAAGAUAAAAAAAUGAGAUUUUUCUUUUGAUAGAGAUAAUUAGACUCAAUUUAUCCAGAAGUAAUGCAUAAAAAACCAAAUACUUGCGUCCCUUUUUUUCAUGAUAUGUAGUAUUUUCCAUACUUUAAAUACAACGAAGUAUUGAAUCCUAAAAUUAGUUGCUCUUCAAAAUAACGCCAUGUAAUAUCCUCAAAUUGUUGAUCUAACCGUGCUUAGAUGAAAUGGUUCAAAUCUUAAAAAUAAAUUUUGAAUUUGAAAUUCAACCUAACAUUAAGUAUAUGUUUUCAACUGCAACAUCGAGAUUGAAUUGUUAAUUUUCAUCAUACCCUCCGUCAAGGAAACGAGUGUGCGAAUUGGCUUGCUAAGCAUGGUGAUGCUCUAAAGUCUUGGAUUGUUUGCCCUCCUCAACUACAUCAUUCCCUUCUGGAUGAUGCUCUUGGAGUUGCUCGCUUGAGAUUGUAGUUUGGUUUUCUUUUUAUCAUUUCUUCUUGAUAAAAAUAAAUAAAUAUAUGUUUGUUAAUGCGGUGAGUGAGACCGCACGUCUAAUCGAAGCUUCAAUUUGUAGCUUCCCUAUUUUUGCAUUGAUAUUGCAUUCGGACGCUAAAAACAUUGCCAAAACGUGAAACUAGACACACAAUUAAACACCUAUAAUGAAUUUAUGAUCUUAUCCAAUUUGAGGAAUUAAUUUGUACAUUUGCACACACAUAUGCUAAUAUGUUUACUUUAAUCGAUUUUAUAUAUAAAAUAAAGUUUAAUCAACAAAAAUGGAUGUAUUUAGUUAAAAAAUUUGACAAAAUACGUUAACUUUGUUGAUUUAACUAGUAUAUCUUAUACAUACUCUCUCCAUUUCACGUUCACUCACGUGUUUAUAAAAAGAAUAGUAGUAAUUGAUUAAUGUCAAAUGUAACCGGGCUGGUUGUUAGCACUUAGCAUGGCUUUGUUGGAUUUGGAGCAUUUCCCUGAGAAGAAGAUGACGCAAGUUGGAAAAGAACAUCUUGGGAAACCAAAACCUACUACCUGUUUGUCUUGGGACAGAGUAGUGUGGGAAUAGAUCUAAGCUUAGUACUAGUAGUAGCUGUGUCAUAUCAUAUGCAUGCAAUUACACUUUUGGAUAACAUACCUAAAAACAUGUCACGACCAUGUUUAAUGUUGUGUUGUGAUGUGAUUAAUUAGUGGUACUUAUAUGGGAAUCGCGUUGGAUUCACGUUAUUCAACAAAACCAAUUUAUUUUUGCAUAUAUAUAGUCAUUUAGUAGGUGGUAUUGGAGCAACCCACAUUUCCUUUGCUAUUUUUAUAUGCUAUAGCUAUACUCUUUGAUACUACUAGUAGUGAAAAAAAAAUGCUCUUCAAGUCAUUAUUGUAAUGGUUGAGGGUGAGUUUUCAGAAUUCAUAUAUGCUUUCUAGUGUCUACUGUCUAGUGGGUGUUAUGAAAGCACUCUCUAAGCAUCAUAUUCUGUUGCAGUCCUCACCUAUGAUUCUUUCUUUCUGACCAAAGCAUGUUUGAUCUGAGUACUACUACUUGUGUUGUUUCUGUCAUAUUUGUAUGUAAAUAACAAGGAUUUGCUUUUUGUUAAUUGAAUUAGAUUCCUUUGUUUGGGAAUUCAAUUCUUAUUCUCCCUUAGUUUUUGGGGGUUCUUAAAGCUUGUGACUACGUUGCAGGACUUCCACUCACUUGUUUCACAUUGCUUUGUUAAGCUUGGUUUAGCAUUUCCCUCUACAUUUCUUAAUUGGUAUGUUUUCUCCAUCUCUUGCAUUUUAUUUUAGUUUCUAUCUUUUCUCAAGUUUUAUGUGGUUGGAUCUAUACGUGUUGCUCUUUGCAUCAGGAUCUUAGUACAUAACUUCUCAUUUGUGAAAAAUACAAGUAGUAUUCAAUUAACUUGAUAAUGAUAAGAACUUGUUAAAGGUUCCUCAUCUUUGCAUUGUAUAUUUUGCUUUGAAACUCUUGAUGGAAGAUAACUGAAAAGACUCUGUUGAUUUCAGUAGUCUCUAGAUCGGGACAUGAAUUGAUGAAUUAUCUACCAUUUAUCUUCUUGUAGUUUGCACCUCCAUCUCACACCAUUAAUCACAUUAUAUAUUUAAUGGUGAGAUGUACUAUACUUACCAAAUAUCAAACUUUUGACUCUUUCAAAGUCGGUUAGUUAAUAGAUUGGGCCUAAUGAAAAUGUGGUCAAACUAUUUAUUUGAGAAUGAUCCGUGUCCUAUUCUCAUUCGUGAAAAUGAUAACACACUUACGUGUACUUGAACUUAUUAGAUUUGUGUAAGGAAUGGAUAACAUAAAUUAUUGGAGAAUGCUAACCAUUGUCCCCAAGAUAUUGGUUAAGCAACUAAAAUAAGUAAAUUUUUAAUAAAAAGUAGUGUAAUCAUUACUUAAUCAAAUGUGAUAGUUUAUAUUUUUAAGACAAAACUUUUAUUUAUGGAUUCUUUAACUAAUACUCUUAGGAUACUGAUUAGCAACACCCUAUUUAUUUCAUCUUGUACUAUCCAUUUGAGUAAUUGAAGUAGUGAAUCAUAUGUUGGCUUAGCAUAAUCUUUCCACAUAACCAAAUAUGUCACUUAAAAGUUACUAAAACUACUAUUUCUUAAAGUAUUGUACACACGGCUUGUCAGCAAAAUAUAAAAGAAGGACAUGUUAACUGGGGAAGGUUCAUAUAUAUUUAGGUACUAUAGCAGAAAUAGGAAAAAAUAAGGGUCAGUAGCCCAACCUAAGAGGAUUAAUCUAUGUUUAUAUUAUGAUGUUGAAAUAACACAACUCUAGUUUAUUUAUUCCUUAUUUAAGUGACUAAAAUUAAUAUAAUCUACAUAGUAUAGGGAUCAAAUUCUAGCAUGCAUAAAUAUAUAAAGAUAAUUGACAAGCAACUUUUAAAUAUUAUAGGAUUUAAUAAUUGUAAAAUGGGCAUGAAAUCAUGAUCCGCAUAAUAAGCUGUGGGACAUGUAUAUUUGUAAAAAUAAUAACUAAUGUUCAUACACAUAUGUGGCCUCUUAUCAACCAACAAUUACAAAGUUAUGGAUACAAUGGAUUUACCUAUGCACAAGAAUAGGACUAUUUAACAUUUUAACUACACUACACUAUAGCCUAGUUGUUGUUCCUUAGUUCCUACCUCACCUGAAUCAUACCUCUUCACAUAAUUUUGUAGCCAUUUAGAACCAAAUACAAUUUCCAUUUAGAUACAGAUUCCAAACCAUUUGAAACUUCUUGAUGUUGUACAAAGGUGAUUUUCAUAAGAUUCUUUUUUUGUUGUAUUAGCAAAUAUUUGGCCCAAUACUAUCACAUAACGUGACAUAUAUAUUUUCAAUAAAAAGGACAAGGUGUUUGGCUACACAUUUCAUUCAAAAGCUGGUUAAGGUAAUGUUUUAAUUAAGAUUUUCUGAAAUUGUUACACAUAGGUGCAUGCUUGAUUUAUGUGACAAUUUUUGUUCAUCGUGAUUUGAAAGAAGCUAGAACAUAAAACAGGUGACAUUGCGAUUGUAACUUCUACUAUUAAUGCAAAUAAAAUAUAUUUAGCCUUUUUUGAGAGGAUUUUUAUGUUUUUAAUUUUGUUAUCAUCCUAAUCUUUUUAUGAUUAAUUGGUGACAAUGAUACACAUGGAAUGGCACAUUGAUGGCUCUAGCUUAUCCUUUUUGUAUUUUAUGAGAUAUACCAUACUUUUACUAGUUUAUAUUUGUUGACAUUGACUAUGGCUGCUAUGUGUAUUGAUAUAAAUAUUGUCAUAGAUGGAUCUGUUAUCAUCAACAAGAAAUUUCUAUUCUAUAGUCUCAAUAUUAAUUUACAGUGACACUGCAAGAUCUAUUUUCCACGUCUCUUUUGAUAAAAGGUUGAAUAUUGUGUUAGGUUCUUCUGGUUGGCAAGGGAAAAAUGAAUGCACUAGCAGCUACAAACAGGAAUUUUAAGUUGGCUUCUAGGCUUUUGGGAUUGGAUUCCAAGCUUGAGAAAAGUUUACUUAUUCCAUUCAGAGAAAUCAAGGUAAACAAACAAAAUUAUUUCUCUUUGUUCUAGCAAAUUUGUUUACUAGGCUUGUUUUGUGUGUUCUGAAUGAUGGUGUCCUGAAAAUUCAGGUUGAAUGUACCAUUCCUAAAGAUGACGGCACGUUGCAAUCUUAUAUUGGAUUCAGAGUUCAACAUGAUAAUGCUAGAGGCCCUAUGAAAGGAGGGAUCAGAUACCAUCCUGAGGUUAUUUAUAUUCUAACACUAAUCUCAAUUACCAAGUGGCAUGGCAUAGUGACAUUACUGUCGCGAUACACUGAGAUUUAGUUCUGUCACUUCUAUUCGUCCUAUACAAAAAAACAUCAAUUACUAAGUAUUCAAUGAUUCGUAUAUGGUUGUUUGUGGUAUAGAUAAACUUGAUGAUCAGUAUUACAAAUUCAAAUGAACUGGUCUUUGGAACUGUUAUGUGUGUUUUUAGGCUCAAAGUUCUGAAUAUGAAUCGUUUAUUGGAAUGAUUAGGUUGAUCCAGAUGAAGUGAAUGCUUUAGCGCAACUAAUGACAUGGAAAACAGCUGUAGCAAAUAUACCAUAUGGUGGUGCCAAAGGAGGGAUAGGGUGUAACCCCUCAGAAUUAAGUAUAUCCGAGUUAGAAAGACUUACCAGAGUUUUUACUCAGAAAAUUCAUGAUCUAAUUGGAACUCACAUGGAUGUUCCUGCACCUGAUAUGGGAACAGGACCACAGGUUAGUUAGUAAAUUCUAAAUGAUUGAUGUUGCGGCCUCAUUGAUGUAAAUAUGGAUUAACAUGAUUUUUUGAAUUCAAUGUUAUCUUACUGUUUGAUAUGAAUGCAGACCAUGGCAUGGAUACUAGAUGAAUAUUCCAAAUUUCACGGCUACUCGCCCGCAGUGGUGACUGGAAAACCUAUAGUAAGUAAUUGUUUGCAUUUCGAAUUUCAUUGAACUGAGAAGUGAGAACAAACCAUGCUUAAUAAACCAUUAACUUUUCUAAAUUUGUUUCCUUUGUCAAACUAGGAUCUUGGUGGAUCUUUAGGUAGAGAUGCAGCUACAGGAAGAGGAGUCAUGUUUGCAGCAGAGGCUUUGCUUAAUGAGUACGGGAAGAGUAUAUCUGGACAACGGUUCGUCAUUCAGGUAACUUUUAAGCCUUUCAUUUAAGAACUUAUUCAAUGAAGUUUUUGGAUUUAGUAUUUUGAUACCAAAUUGUGUAUUUGUUCAGGGUUUUGGAAAUGUAGGGUCUUGGGCUGCACAAUUAAUUGAUGAGAAAGGUGGGAAAAUUGUUGCUGUGAGUGACAUAACUGGAGCCAUAAAGAACAGCAAAGGUCUUGACAUCCCUAGCCUACUCAAGCAUACCAAAGAGCACAAGGGAGUAAAAGGAUUCCAUGGUGGUGAUUCAUUUGAUUCUAACUCAAUAUUGCUUGAAGAUUGUGAUGUUCUAAUCCCAGCAGCUCUUGGAGGUGUCAUCAAUAGGUGCUUUUCUUUUUUUCAAUUACAAGAUAACUAUUUUAGAGUUAGUUUUUUAUUCUAAGGUUAAAUUAUAACAAAUGAAAUAUCUAAGUUUAAGUCUAUUUUGUUAUUCUUUUGGUAUGGUUGAAGGGAAAAUGCAAAUGAAAUUAAGGCAAAAUUUAUAGUUGAAGCAGCUAAUCACCCAACUGACCCUGAUGCUGAUGAGGUUGGUUUUAUAUCUUUUUCUCUUUCCUUCCCUUUCUCAAACAAAUUUAGACAGAUGAAUGAAAUCAAUGUACCAUUGUUAAUUACCUUCCUUACUUGCAGAUUCUAAAGAAAAAAGGUGUUGUGAUUCUCCCAGACAUUUAUGCAAAUUCAGGAGGUGUUACAGUUAGUUACUUUGAGUGGGUUCAGGUAACUAUUAUAUUUAUAUAAUUAAACUCUUGAUUUCAUAUGGAUGCUUUUGUAUGUGUAAGACUUAUAACUUAUGUAGCACCGACACUUCGUAUUGAAGGCUUAUUGACACAGCACUGCCACCUAUUGUUACACUCAAUCACUUCCAUUUUUUAAAAUUAUUACUAGUAUUUACGUGUCAAUGUCGUGUUCAAUGUCAGUGUUUGUUCAAGUGUUUAGUAGCUUAUAACUCAACUAAUCUAAUAUGUCUUGCUCUUAUGUGGUGAUUUUUGUGAUAUACACAGAACAUCCAAGGGUUUAUGUGGGAUGAGGAGAAAGUGAACAAUGAGCUAAAAAACUACAUGAACAGGGGUUUCAAAGAUGUGAAAGACAUGUGCAAAACUCAUGAAUGUGAUCUUCGAAUGGGAGCCUUCAGUCUGGGAGUUAACCGUGUGGCAAGAGCUACUGUCCUUAGAGGUUGGGAAGCUUGAGAUCUUCAUCUUGUAGUUGCUGCUUGGAAUAAAAGAGAGCUUUUAGUCUCAGUUGCACUUAUUCUUGCUGUCAAAAAGUUUUUGUUGCUUUCAUGUGUUGAGUGAACUGUGUUUUCACCCUAAAUUUUAUCAGAUUAAAGAUGAGGGUUCCAUGUACUAUUAUUGGAUUAACAUUCCAUUUGCUUAAUGAGUUAGAAUCUACUUGUUUUUUCUCUAAAAGUUUUUCCUCCAUCUAUAAGCCUUAAAAUACUUAAUACUAGGGACUUGGAUCCUCUGCGGCUCGGUCUGGUUCAAUAUCCACCAUUUUGUUAACCAACGGCCGAUGUUUAGUUGGCUCAGGCUUAGCUACAUGCAUGGGUAUAGAGAAUCCAUUACUAGAAACUAGAUAAGCGGUUCUCUGCUAUCCUCCAUAAGAUCUCGAUGGUGUAGAAAGAAUAGAAAGCUAGAGAUGUGGUAAGAAAAAGGAGCCAAAAAUGUCUAAAAUUAACUAACAUGAAAGACUUGUACUGUAUUGAAAGUUGAAAAACAUAUACAUAUUUUUCUGAAAAUCAAAAACUAUACCCAUGCAUGUGAAAAGUAAAAUGUGAAAAGAUUUGCAUAAAGUGAAUAUUCAAUCAUACAUUCCUUAAACAUUUGAAUUUAAAAUUUCACUGUAAAUUUAAAGGAUGAUAAAAGAUUUUCAAACGGGGAGCGUUAGGUCAGGUGACUUUAAAACUCAUCUAAUAUGAACUUGUUAAUUCUCCAUUUAGAACAGUAAUUUUCAAUAAAACUAUUGUACAAACCAGUGUAGGAUGUAAUUGCCUGAAUAAGCAGAAUUAACAUUAUUGUCUAAUAUUGUCUCCAGUGCAAAGCGUGUAGAGUGAAAUCAACACCACGCAAUUCUUUUGGCUAUAAAUUUGCCCGUGCGUACGAGCAAGGGAUACACACUAGUUAGAAAAACAAUGAAAGGUUUGGAUCUUCACAGUACAGCCUCCAGUGAUUUUUUCACAAGAUCCGUACCCACCUACUACCAGCAUGACCUAUAUCACGUUCUUAAGUUUUCAAGGCUGGAAAAUGGACCAAAUCAUAAAAGAAAAUAGUCAAACAGACUUUGAGCAGUUAUUAACGUGUAUCACACAUCCGCGAAACGCUGUUAUAUGGUUUUAAAAAUAAUUUCCAGAGUUAUUGAAGUUAAGUUUAAUGUGUAAGUUUCAAAAUCAAAAGCACAAGUUUAGAUGGAAAGCAAACUCAAUCUACCCUAUCAUACCCUGCCAUGGUGAUAAGUUGAUAACAUAUUACAAUCUAAUCAACACUCAAACGGAACCAUUCAGUUUCACAAGUUAAAUAAAAAGUCAAUUCAGCACCAAAUCUGCAAUUGCAACCCUAUGAGAUUGAUCAUCCAAAAACGAUUGAAGUACAAACAACUAAUAUUACAUGAAAUUGGUAUUUCCCUAAAAUCUGCCCCUUCCCCUGAAACCACCACCACGUCCACCUCUAGGAGGACCUCUUCCACCCCUUGGGGGACCCCUUCCACGAAAACCACCACCUCCACGACCACCGCCUCUGCCAAAACCACCACCUCCACGGCCUCCACCUCUACCACCUGAUGCUUGUCCCCUGCAAUAAUAAUCAGUCAAUUGUGUUAACUUCAAUCGAUUGUAAUACCGUUUCAAAAGCCAACAAAAAAUUCCACGCAAAGAUCCAACUGCAUACAACAAUUAACAAAAGGAAAUGUGGUACAGUACAGGUUACAUUCUAGCAUGUAGAAGAUCAAAAACUAAUUUUGGCUUUAUCUUAUCUCGGUAAAUCAUUGCCCCCCUCUAAUUUUUAUCUGAUAUAACAUCAAUUAGGGACAGUACAGGUUACAUUCUAGCAUGUAUCCGUAUAUAGCUAAUAUCAUAAACUAAUUUUGGCUUCAUCAUUUCUAAGUAAAUCAUCGCCCACCCACUUAACACCCUCUCACACUCAAAAUUAGACAUCUGCAACAUGGUCUAAUGCUUUUUUUUUGUUACAGGUCUAAUGCAAGUUGAACAACAAGGAUCUCAACAACCAUAACACUAAGAAUCCUUUAAAUAAACAAACAAACAAGUAUAACCAUAGCAGAUUACAUCAAGACAAAAGGUCAUAUUCAUUUUUUCAAUAAAACGGUCUCACAAGCAAUCAUUAAUUUAGGUAAUAAUAGAAGCACCGCAUGCUCACAACGAAAUAAGCACAACUUUUAACAAACUGCAAACAUAUCAGUAACAACAUAUGAAAUAAAGCAGUAGAGGAUGAUGCACAGAUAUAACAUAUGAAAUAUAAAGCAGUUCACACAUUCUUCCCAUGGUUAUAACAAACAAAACAGUAAUGAUGCAUGAAUAGCAACAUGCUAUGAUAUGCAGCACAAUACAUCAACAUAGCAAUCAAGAAAUAGUUCAAGUGUUAGAAAUACAAAACAAACAUUAUCAUAAACAUAAACAAGGAAAUUAAUUAGGAAAAUCUUUAUUUCAAACUACUAUUCAAUAUCCAUUUAACAUCAACUGUACAAUACUUAGACAGGUUAAUUUUAAGUCGGUGAGAACAUACUUCGGCUGAGGAAGAAAUCUUGCUAGAGGCAAGAGUUUCCUAGGGUCAAUGUAAAACUUGUCACCAGCAGCAUAUGAAGUAGCAACAAUCCCUUCCAUCAUUUUAACAGAAAAGUACUGCAAUUCAAACAAAACAAAAAUCACAUCAAAACCCAUUUCAACAAAACAUAUAAGAAAAUAAAAUCAACCAACAAAGAGAAACUGACAGAUUCAUUGAUGGGACCAAAUAUUUCAUCAACUUUCCCAAUCUGAGUCAUGUUUUGAAGAUAAAUAGGAGCAUUAAAAAAAGGAAUUUUCUCAUUGGUAAGCUUUGUAACAGCAUCUCCUUCACAAGCAUGGAUAAACGUUGAAACCUCUGCAUAACAUCAAAACAAACAAAACAACCACUCAAUAAAACACAAAAUAAAAAUAAAAAUCUCCUUUUUACAUAAACAAAAAGCUUAUAGAUAAAACUAAGUUCUACCCACGAACCUACGACUUCGGAGGGAGGUCCUUCAUCACGAAAUCCACCUCCACCACCACGUCCACCGCCGAAUCGACCACCACCACGUCCACGAAAACCUCCUCCGUCACGACCACCUCUGAAUCCACCAUCACGUCCACCUCUGAAUCCACCACCACGGCCGCCACCUCUUGCAGGGGGUCUCAUUGUUUGGGAAAGAAUGUAGUGAGACUGUGAGCUGAGCUUCGACAAUGGCGGGGCAGAGAGAAACUUUAGCUUUGGGGUUUAGGGUUUUGGUGAUGAAUAUCAGGGUUGUUAUGAGACUUUUUUGGGCCUCGGUUUUUAUUUUGGGCCAAAGCCGAUGGCCCAUUCUAAAGUUGGUCCACGUAUAAAUUGCUUUUUUUUUUCAAUUGUUUAUCUCAUUUCCACGUUUAACUACCUUAAGUAAUCCCAAUGUGAGUUAAGUCACGUUCGGUAGAACCAGCGUGAGUUAACUCACGUUGAUCCAACGCAAGUUAACUCAUGUUCAGUAGAAUCAGUGCAGGUUAACUCACACUGAGUCCUGUUAUGCUAACAUAACAACAUUGAAUGUAUGCAACACACGCUCGUAAUUGAUCCAAGUUACACCAAUUCGAAUACAUCAUUAACUCAUAAUACUCGUCAUAAUAUAAUCACUCAUAAUUGAUCCAAAUUACACAAAUUCGGGAAAACACAUGCAUGUGUGGACUUGACUGGGUUUCACCGCUUGUGGGAUUAGGGGUUGGGGCUUUUACAGUAGGAUAGAAAGCCCUGGAAGUUGCGUCCAACUAAGUGGCCAAACAUGAGAACGCGUGUUCUCUCACAACCAACAUGUUUUUCUGUUUUUUUUUUUUUUUGUCAGGUAGCCUAGUGGCUAGAAUUCACCUUAUAAGAUGAAUAAGUGGGGUGUCCGGGGUUCGAACCCCGGCCCCUGUAUAUAACAAUACAAUGUCCCUGCCAACUGAGUUAUGUUCACGGGGACCGCAACCAACAUGUUUUUAUACCAUUUAUUUUUCAUAUAAAAAAGUGACAAUUAUUUUUAAACAGAUUCUUUCAAAAAAUAUAUAUAUUAAAAUAGAUAAAAAAAAAAAAAAAAAAAAGAGUAAUACUUAGAACCUCUCUAGUAGGAUGAUCUUAAAUAUUUAAGACAGUACAUAUUAGGUAUAUGUAUUGGUAAGACAAAAUCUCGGGGUCUUAUAAUACCUAAGGUCUCACUUAAGACCCUCAAUCUUAAGUGAAACCCAUAUGUUUUUUCAUUAUAAAUUUGAAAUGUAAGGAUAUAAAGUUAUUGAUAAUUGAUUAAUGUGUACCAUUUAAGAAUUUUUGUUAAGGCUCUGUUUGGUAAAAAUAGCGGAUAGCUGAUAAACUAGCUGAUAGCUUUUAGCUGAUAGCUUUUAGCUGAUAAGCUAACUGAAGUGUUUGGUAAAAAUAGCGGUUCAACUAGCUGAUAAAUGUAAAAUGACAUAAAGGGUAUUCUUAAUUCAUAAAAAAAAAUUAUAUCAUUAAUUUAAGUAUUUGUAAUUUUGUAAACUAAUUUUUCUUUAAAAAAAUACUUUAAAUUUAUUAAUUUAAUAUAUCCUAUGUAUUAUAAAUUAAAUUAAAUUUUAUAUUAUAUUUAUUAUCAUUUAAGUGUUUCUACUUUUUGCUCAAAAAAAAAAAAGUGUUUAUACUUUAUAAAGAAAAUAACAUUUACCUCAAAAAAAAAAAGAUAGAAUUAAUAGAGUAAUAUUAAUGACAGAGAAUAAAGAAAAUAACACUUACCUCAAAAAAAUAAAAAUAAAAAAGUAACACUAAUAGAAUAAUAGUAUUUUGUUCCGUAAAAAAAGAAACGAAGGUAUAUAUUUUUUCAAAAAAAAAAAAAAGGCUAGCUGAUAUAUAUACAAAAAUUGGAAUAAAGGGAUAAUAGUUUUUAUUACGUAGCUUAUUAUAAAAAUUAUAAUGGAUAAAAAUACAAUUUAAAUGAAAUAAUAAGGGUAAAAUUGGAAGAAAAAGUGAGAAGCUAUAAGUUAUAAGCUCAAACGCUACUUGAAAUAGCUUCUGAAAAAUAGCUUAUAAGCUCGUGAAAUAAGCUAUAAGCUCAUGGUGAAAAAGUGUUACCAAACAGAGCUUUUUUUGUCAAAGGAACUUAUAAACUAUAAACUAAAAGCUAAAAUUUUUUUUUUUUAUUUCCCAAAUAGACCCUAAAAGAUUAUAAAUGUGUAAUGUGUACACGUAAGACCAAUUUAAAUAAAAAAAUAAAAAAAUCAGUGUUUCGAUUGUGGAUGUUUUUAGGAAUGUUAAAAAAAAAAAAAAAACACAACGUAAAUUUUGUUAAAGAUAGAACAGUAAAAUUUUGUAGGGUAGGUCCUAUUGGUAGACUUGAAGAAGAGUCACUCAAGUCAGCCUAUAGGUGUACCUCUUGGUCCGUGAGGAUCCAUUUCAGGAGAAACACGGUCAGGAGAGGACUGUGUUUAUAUAUAUGUCCAGAUUCAUUCAUUGAUUCCUUAACCGACAGACAACAACAUACCAACGUUGUUUCAUACCCGAUUUCAAUGCCUUCACAUUCGCCAUUUCCAUUUUCAUAACAUGACAUGGCUUAACACUUACCACUACACGCCAAACCAGAAAUAGGAAAACAACUUCAUUCUUAUCAUACACCAACACCACUCAGAUUCACACACCCCCCAAAUUUCUUCCUGGUAUGUAUUCACUCCCAUUCUCUUCUAUUUUCUUUCAAAAUCGUUUUUUUUUUUUUUUGUGUAAUGGGUUGUGAUUUUUUUUGUUAUUAAUUGUGCUACUAGUGAUGAAAACUGUGAUGAACUUAUUUAUAAUUUUUUUUUCAUUUGACAUUGUGAUGUCCCUGUUGAGAAAAAUGAACAGAUUUUACCUCUGAUAAUCAAGUUUUGUUAUAAAGUUAAUUACUUGCAUAAUUGAUCUAAUUAGAGUGAGUGUGAAAUUUAAAGGGUCCCACGGCUCAUCUGAUUAUUAUUGGUUAGAAUCUUGUUUAGGAAGACUGUUUAAAACUUGAGUGUGGAUUUUGCUACAUAUUCACUUGGAUGCUCUCCUUUUCUUGAAUAUUAAGUUAUAAGAUAUGAUUCUAUGGGAAGGCACAGCUUUGAUCAUGAAGGAAGGUCCAAUCAUGAUUAAACCUGUAUUAAAUCUUAUUAUUCAAAAACAAGAUCCAAAUUGGCAAAUCAAUAUGCUAAUGGCCCGUUUCGAUCGAUUUAUUUUUGAGCUUAUGCAAAUAAAUAAGCUUUUAUCUACAAUUAUCGUUAGUGAGAACUUAUGAAUUAACAUAAAAGCUUAUUUAUUUGCAUAAGAUAUUUUUCAUAAGCUAAAAAAUAAGCCAAUCCAAACGGACCCUAAGUCCAACUUAUUUCAUCGAUUUUAGUCUUUCAUCCUGAUCUUUAUGCAAAAGCAUUUACAAGUACAAUGUAUCUAGACGCUGACUAUGUCAAAUAUUUGUCACGUUUAUUAAUUGACACAAAAAAGAGUAGGUAUGGAUGAUUAGUAAAUUGAAAAUGCCUUUAGAAAGGUGGGUGGAUCUUCUAAAACUUUCAAAAAAUGGCAUGUAAUUCAAUCACAGUAUAUAGCCAUGCCAACAAUAUUUCAGCUUUCUUUAGAGAAAAUAAGGUUAUUGAAGGAUCCACCAUUGGUUUCUAAUCAAAUUUAUCAUAAAGUUUGUUGCUUGCAUAAUUGACUGUCAUUAGUGUGUAAGAAAGUGAAAGGGUCCCAUUUGCCAUCUGUUUGAUGCUUAGAAUAUUGUUCAGGAAAACUGUUUGAAACUUGAGUGUAAACUUUGGCACAUAUUGACUUAGAUGCUCUCCUUUUCUUGAAUAUUAAGACAUGAUUAUGUAGAAAGGCACAAUUUUGAUCAUGAAGGACCAACCAUGAUUAAAACUGUGUCUUUCUCUACCUAACAGGGCCAUAUUUAACUUAUUAAAAGACAGAAGAUCCAAAUCAAUAUGCUAGAUCCAACAUAUUUCCUUGAUUAUAGCGUUAUAAUAGUUCAUCUUGAUCUUUAUGAAAACCUUUUACAAGUUCAAUGUAUCUAGACGCUGAUUAUGUCAAACAGGUCACAUUUGUUAAUUGACACAAACAUGUGAGUGUGAUGAGAUCACAAUUCCACUAACAAUCUAUAAUUGGUGUAUUAUGACAUGCUUUCAACUAUGCAUCACUGCUGUAAUGCUUUCCCUCAUGAAGUACUUGCAAACAUCUUGAUUAGUUUAUUACUAUCAUGCUCUUCUUUUAUAAGAUUCUCUCUUACGUUUUGAUUCUGCAGGAAUCAAUGAAAUGCUUUUAGUUUGUUAAUAUCGGUACAUAGAUAAAACAAGUGGAACUGUUUCAAUGUCAACUCUUAGCAACGCAACAAAUAUAUUUUGGCAAGAUUGUCAACUAGGAAAGCCUGAAAGGCAGAAGCUACUUAACCAAAAGGGAUGUGUUGUAUGGAUUACUGGACUCAGCGGAUCAGGUUCAUAUUGUUAAGCUUAUUGACGUAUUGCACACCUUUUUCAGCAUUGACCCUUGAUAUGCUUUUAUCUUUUGUCAUGGGAAACAUUAUCAUAUUCUUGUUUGUGAUGUUUAUGCUUUUUAUUAUGUUUUAGCUACUCCCCAAAUUUAACAAUCCCCUUUAAGUUGAUUUGAUCAACAGGAACUUAUUGUGUGUCACGCAUGAUAGUUUUCCAUGUGUUGUUAAGUCUAUAUUUCCUUUCAUUCUUAACAAAAAUAUGAAAUGAAGCAAACCAAAAAAGCUUUGCAACUGUUCCAUUUAGAGCAUAGUAGAAACAUUUUCUUCACUUUGUUCAUUUAAAUCAACUCUGCCACUCUUUGCAAUAUCACUUUGUUCAUUUGAAUCAACUCUGCCACUCUUUGCAAUAUGUAACAAAUUAGUCACUUCUUUAUUAGUUCAACCAGCAAGGCUGGUCCAAACCAUCGAAAGGUUUUAUGUUGCAACGGACAUUUCCAAGCACAGAUAACAUUGGUGGCAGAUGGCAAUUUAUCCCUGUCAUGUAUGAAAGGAAAUUAAAGUUAUACAUUAUUUAACUAUUUUCAACAUUAUGCAGAUUUUAGAUAAAAGUUAGGACUAGGUUUUUUAUUCUAGUGCUUCUAUAUUUUCUGGAACCUGGUGGGAGAAGUAAAUUAAAACCAGGAAAUUUACAUAGAAACUUGUAAGACUGAAAGAAACCUCAAGGCCGUUUACUUUGAGAAAAUCUUUUUUGUUUUCAUUUUGAAUUGGAAAACUUCCACUUUGUUUUGAAUUUAUGUCCUGUUUUCAAGUUUUGUAAUUAGAAAAAAAAAAAAAAAUGCUUUCUCAACGUAAACAGACCCUUAAAUAAAACUGUUUACUUUUUCUCUAUUUUGAUUUUUGCUAUCGUUCUCUGUACUGAUUACAAAAAGUAUAGAGAAACUCAGAAGAUUGAGGAGAACCAUAGAUACAAGUGUAUCUCUCUAUUUUGAUUCUUGCUAUCAUCCUCUGCACUGAUUGAAAUGACUACAAUGUACAGCUGAUAUGGUUCAUUCAUUAUUUGUGUUUUGUUUUGACCUGUCCUUAACUAUUAUCAAAAGAAAGGUGGCCCUCUCUCCAUGAUUUUUCACUUAUUCCAUCCAUUACCUUUCACGUCACAGUUAUUACAUACCACAUUCUAGUUCUUUUGCGAGUGAUUUGUAAAUUUUAGGACUUUAGGAUACCAGAAACUGAUGCAUAAUCUUUGUAAAUUCCUGAGUGAUUUUUCACUUAUUCCAUCCAUUACUUCAAUGUGAAAUGUGGCUCCCACAUGCUGUGUUGAUUGUUUUCUCAAACUUUUCAGGGAAAAGCACACUGGCAUGUUCACUAAGCAGUGAACUGCACUCAAGGGGAAAAUUAUCUUAUAUCCUUGAUGGAGAUAACCUUCGGCAUGGACUAAACAAGGAUCUUGGUUUUAAACCUGAAGACCGCACUGAAAAUAUUCGCAGAACUGGUAAGCUUUCUCCAUAAACAAAUUGUGUAAGAGAAUAAAUAAAAGGAAAAAACUUGAUUGUCAGUUUUAACCUGUUAACUAUUUGGUUAUCUUAUCUGCCAAGUAGAGUGAUAAUAAUAGUCUAGAUUGGUAUGCGUGAUGAAUAUUAAAUUUCUUGUUGACCCUUAGAACAGCCUAUUAGUAUCUGUGCACACAUUUUUGCUAUUUAAAAAGUGCAUAGUCGAAUUAUUGUAUUAAAUUCAAAAGGAUUGACGGUCUUACGCGAUGUACCGUGUUAUCUAUUAUGCCUAUAUGUAUCACGGCUAUUAGUAUCUGUGAACAAUACUUUGGUUAUUGCAGUUAUAUGGCUAGCUGGUCUGUAUUAAAAAUUCUGAUGCAUGCAAGUUUUCCAAAGUUACUGAUAAAUAUAUAUAUUUAAUUCAGGUGAAGUGGCGAAACUCUUUGCCGAUGCUGGUCUAAUAUGUGUUGCUAGUCUCAUAUCUCCUUAUCGAAGAGAUCGGGAUACUUGCCGUGCCAUGUUGCCUGAUGCCAACUUUAUUGAGGUAAGGUUACUUUAGGCAUUUCUUGUCAUUUGUGCAAGGUAGACUACAUGAUAUCUGAUACGAAUAGUAAUUACAGGUCUACAUGAACAUGCCUCUAUCAUUGUGUGAGGCACGGGAUCCAAAAGGCCUCUAUAAGCUUGCUCGUGCUGGAAAGAUCAAAGGUUUUUUUUUUUUUUUUAAUGUGUUUUACUAGUGGAAGCUUCUCCCCACCCUUCUAAUAUAAGGAAACUGAAAUUUUGAGAUGUAGUGAGAAAGAAAGAAAUAAAGAGCUUGCAUUCAUAAAUCUUUAGUUAACUUGGCUGCAAUUCAUUGCGAUCCACAUCAACUGAAUGUCACAAUUAACUGCCAUAUGUUUUAUGCCAUUUAUGCAACAAACUUCAAACCCUAAUGAAUUUUGUUAACAUAGUUCAGAGCCUAUAUUGCACCUUAGGUUGAAUAGUGAAAUAUUCUUUCUUGCAUUUCCUAUUUGAUAAUGUUCAUUUAAAUUCAAACACGCGUAACGAAUUGCUUAGAAUAACUUAUUUAAUCUCACUGCUGAAACUAUUUUCAUAUUUUGAGUUCUACCAUGUGCCGUUUUUGUACUAAUUGUGAAAUUGCAUAGGUUUUACCGGCAUUGAUGAUCCUUAUGAACCACCCUUAAAUUGCGAGGUAUGUGUUCGCGAUGCUACUAUAUCUCUUUACAAAUACCUUUUUUUCUGUGUCUGAUGUGUUAUGUAGAUGAAUGUAUUUUAACACAUUCUCUCAUUUCCAGAUAGAAAUAAAGGAGGAUGAUGGAGAUUGUCCAACACCAAAAGUGAUGGCAGGACAAGUUGUUACUUACUUGGAAGAGAAAGGGUUUCUUGAAUGUUAGGGAAAUAUUCAUAUAUCUAAUGUUUGAACUUGUAAUGUCUGCUAGUAUUCUCUAAUUAUAACGUUUCUUCUAGACUUCUAGUUGAAGUUGAAAACCUAGAAAGUGUGUUAGCAGGAGGCACUGCCGCACUGGUGAGAGGAUAAGGGGACUUGUAAAAUUUAUCAACUAUAUAUAAAUUUUAAUUGCAUACAUAUAUUUUUUAAAGAAAAAAAAUCAUUCAGUUGAUUGAUGAAGAUUAAGUUGAUGUUUUUCAAGGUAUGAUGAUAUGAUUGUCUUCUUUGCAACGUUAAUCAUUAGGGUACUAGGAAAUUAAAUUACAGUUACAAAGGCUGCUUGUGAUUUAUAGUAUACUUAUGUUUGUUUUCUGAUAAUUGUGAAUUAUGUGCAGCUCAAGAUAAAGGCUCAUAAUCUUUUUUUUAAACAAGAUAAAGGCUCGUAAUCUUUUUUUUAAAACAAGAUAAAGGCUCAUAAUCCUUUAACUGCUACACAUUCAACAUGAUAUGGUUUUGCUCAAUUGAUACAAGGCUAUGUUUGUGACUGACAUUUAGAAAGUGAGAUUUUUGUUUUCCUGUGUUGGAAAGUAUGAUAUGAUUGUGUACAAAGAAUUGACUUAUUGGUAUUUAUUGACAAAUUUAUUUGGUCAAAAAUAAUUAUUGACUAUUGACUAUUUUGUACAACCGGAUAUUGGGACUAAAUACAUACUACUAUUUUUUGGAUGAAUGGACUAAAUACACACUAUUACCUUUGUGUGAGAGUAAAAAAAGGUAUACUUAAUUUUGGUUUCACGAAUUUUCUUCCAAUUUUACCUUUGGCUUUAACUCGCCAGUCCCCCCUAUUUUAUCGUUUUUUUUUUUAUCAAUCCAAUAACUUUAUUUUUCAAUUACUUUAUUGAUAACAGCGGAAAGUUCAAAGAAAAAAAGUGGAAAGUUAAUCUGUAACCUGAAACACCAAGACAUGUAUUAAUAUCUUGCGUCGGAUAAGAUCACAAUGAAUGAUAAAUCACUUCUUCAAUAGAUUUAACAUUGUUUCAUUUUAGUGUUGGAUUCGAACACAAAACUAAAAGAGAUUUCUUAUCAUCUCAUCCAAAUAUUGUUAAAUAAAUAUUGAUAAAUAAAAUGCUACAAAAAUUAACAUCACUCUACCCUUUUAUAUAGGGUGACAAUUUUAUCCACUAAUACAUCAUCCAUCCAAAUCGUAAACUCAUUCAAUCCAUCCUCCCUCAUCUAUAUGUUUUUUUGUUCUGGGAAUAAUAAUAGAGUAAAUAGUCAAUUUUCCUUUGAAAUUGUAGGUUUCGUCAAUUACCUUCCUGAAAUUAACAAAACUUCAAUUACCCCAUGAAAUUGCAUAACGUUAAUCAAUUUACCCCCUCCUUCAAAUUUUUCUGUUAACUGUUUACGGUUAUGAUCAAAUACCCUUCUGAAAUUUUGCACUUAUGUGCAAAAUGUCCCCUAAACUUGAAAAUUUAUAUAUAUAUUUUUUAUCCUUGACUCAAAAGAUAUUAAAGGCAAACAAUUAACAAUUAUUGAUCAUAUAAAUCUUUAUGAAAUGUAUGUUUAUACAGCUAUUGGUAACAUAAAUCUUUAUGGAAUGUAUGUUACUCUCAUGUGUUCUAAAUAUAUACAUAUAUAGAAGACUUAUUUUUACACAAGUUGGUAAUUAUGUUAGAGUAUGCGGUCAUAAAGUACACAAGUUUUUUAUAAUUGUGUGUCCAUAAAGAAAAUUCAUAGGUUAAUAUCUGCACAAGGAAGAAGAAACAAGACUUAGGUUUGUGAAUUUGCAACUUGAUUAAUGAUAUAAUUUUUAUAGUGCAGGAAAUGUCAUAUCUAUUAGCUGCAACAUGUUAAAUAGAUUAUGUCAUAGACCUUCUGCAUGAAGCCGAUAUAUCACAUUGUACUACAAAGUUAUGUGAUAGAUAUCAAUUUUCUGCUGCUAUAACAUUCUUGUCUUGGUGUAUUUCAACAGCUUGAUAUCUUUUUAAUGUUUGGUUUUUAGUUUUACCUUCUUUGUAAAAAAAAUUAUUGCUCCUUGUUGAUAAAUAUGAAAUAUGAAUGAAAAGGCUGCACAUGACAAAACCAUGAUUUCUUUGGCAUAUUUUCAUUCAUUUUCUUGUGAAUAGAAUUUUUAUAACAAUAGAUACAAUAUACUACUUGAAGAACUAAAUGUAUGAUUUUUGGUAAGAAAAAAUCUAAAUUUUGCACAUAAGUGCAAAAUUUUGGGAGGGUAUUUGAUCAUAACCGUUAACAGUUAACAGAAAAAUUUGACGGGGGUAAAUUGAUUAACGUUAUGCAAUUUUAGGGGGUAAUUGAAAUUUUGUUAAUUUCAAAAGGAUAAUUGAUGAAACUUACAAUUUGAGGGGGGAAAUUGACUAUUUAGUCAAUAAUAAUAUCAUUGUUUGUUGGUAUCAUCCAAUAAAUAGAAACGUCCAAUGUUUGAAUUUGGAUCACAAAAGAAACAAAGUACAACACAAGACGCAUAUCUGUUGUUGUUAGAUCUAACUGACUGCAAUAACAUCAAUCAAAGUACAAAGAACGUAGAAGGAAGGAUGGUACUGAACAGCGGUGUGGUGAUGAGGGUGGCGCACGUGUCAGCUAGGUUGUGUCAAUACAUAGCGUGUAAUCCUGAGAUGUUGAGCAGCGACGCCGUUUUGGGUCUCAUCUUUUGUCUUCCUUUCCAACGUUUCUUCUUCUCCCUUUCUUCUUACCUGGGUUAUCCUCCUAUUCCUCAACACUCAGAUUGAACAUCUUAGCUUUUUUGUCGUUUAAUUUCUGUUGUGUUUAUGUCUCUUCUUCAUAUGUAAAUGUAAUUUAUAAAUAAAUCUACAUUAUAUUUCUUCUGUUACUUGUUCCCGUUGUUGUUUUUGUAUUGUGUUUGCGUAAUUGUUCCCGAUUGACAACAAGAAAUUAAAUUAUUAUUAUGAGGUUGGUUGAUGGGUCGGUCGGUCGAGUGAAACAUUUUCUUUCCAUCGGGGAGGGGGGGAUCCAAGCUUUGCUUCAUGAAAUGAGUUGACUUUCUUAAUAACAAGCUUCUCUUAUUUAAAUUGAGAAAUGAUAUUUGUACAACCAUUUUCUAACAAUUUUUUGACAACUUUAUCUCUCAUACUCACAUUAUCUUUUUAUUCUCUCUCUAUUAUUUUUGACCAAUCAAAUGAGAGACAAUUAAAGUUGUCAUAGAAGUUGUACCAAAGAGUUGUACAUAUAUCACUACUCAUUUAAAUUGUUUAGCAUUUCAAGCUUUUCA
Molecule: long non-coding RNA, 24546 nt
Filed under: Medicago truncatula (barrel medic)
Lineage: Eukaryota; Viridiplantae; Streptophyta; Magnoliopsida; Fabales; Fabaceae
Description: long non-coding RNA (MTRU_LNC005407)
Source: RNAcentral